GAUGAAGAAUGUAGCGAACUGCGAUAAGUAAUGCGAAUUGCAGAAUUCAGUGAAUCAUCGAGUCUUUGAACGCACAUUGCGCCCCCUGGCAUUCCGGGGGGCAUGCCUGUCCGAGCGUCAUUACUGCCCAUCAAGCGCGGCUUGUGUGUUGGGUCCUCGUCCCUCCCGGGGGACGGGCCCGAAAGGCAGCGACGGUACCGUCCGGUCCUCGAGCGUAUGGGGCUUUGUCACCCGCUCGAUUAGGGCCCGGUCGGCGCCAGCCGUCAACCCCCAAUUUUUUUUUAUUCAGGUUGACCUCGGAUCAGGUAGGGAUACCCGCUGAACUUAAGCAUAUCAAUAAGCGGAGGA
Molecule: unclassified non-coding RNA, 348 nt
Filed under: soil metagenome
Description: partial contains 5.8S ribosomal RNA, internal transcribed spacer 2, and large subunit ribosomal RNA
Rfam family: 5.8S ribosomal RNA (bases 1-120)
Source: RNAcentral